GGGCCGAUAGCUCAGUCCGGCAGAGCGACGGCCUCUUAAGCCGUCGGUCAAGGGUUCAAAUCCCUUUCGGCCCG
Molecule: transfer RNA, 74 nt
Organism: Halorientalis sp. IM1011
Lineage: Archaea; Methanobacteriati; Methanobacteriota; Halobacteria; Halobacteriales; Haloarculaceae
Rfam family: tRNA
About the family: Transfer RNA (tRNA) molecules are approximately 80 nucleotides in length. Their secondary structure includes four short double-helical elements and three loops (D, anti-codon, and T loops).
Source: Rfam